Molecule: ribosomal RNA, 274 nt
Filed under: uncultured bacterium
Lineage: Bacteria
Description: partial 16S ribosomal RNA
Rfam family: Bacterial small subunit ribosomal RNA
Source: RNAcentral
AUACGGAGGGUGCAAGCGUUAUCCGGAAUCAUUGGGUUUAAAGGGUCCGUAGGCGGGCAAUUAGGUCAGAGGUGAAAUCCCACAGCUCAACUGUGGAGCUGCCUUUGAUACUGGUUGUCUUGAGUUAUAGUGAAGUAGAUAGAAUGUGUAGUGUAGCGGUGAAAUGCAUAGAUAUUACACAGAAUACCGAUUGCGAAGGCAGUCUACUAACUGUUGACUGACGCUAAUGGACAAAAGCGUGGGGAGCGAACAGGAUUAGAAACCCGAGUAGUCC